Molecule: ribosomal RNA, 465 nt
Filed under: uncultured Klebsiella sp.
Lineage: Bacteria; Pseudomonadati; Pseudomonadota; Gammaproteobacteria; Enterobacterales; Enterobacteriaceae
Description: bacterial SSU rRNA
Rfam family: Bacterial small subunit ribosomal RNA
Source: RNAcentral
CCUACGGGAGGCAGCAGUGGGGAAUAUUGCACAAUGGGCGCAAGCCUGAUGCAGCCAUGCCGCGUGUGUGAAGAAGGCCUUCGGGUUGUAAAGCACUUUCAGCGGGGAGGAAGGCGGUGAGGUUAAUGACCUCAUCGAUUGACGUUACCCGCAGAAGAAGCACCGGCUAACUCCGUGCCAGCAGCCGCGGUAAUACGGAGGGUGCAAGCGUUAAUCGGAAUUACUGGGCGUAAAGCGCACGCAGGCGGUCUGUCAAGUCGGAUGUGAAAUCCCCGGGCUCAACCUGGGAACUGCAUUCGAAACUGGCAGGCUAGAGUCUUGUAGAGGGGGGUAGAAUUCCAGGUGUAGCGGUGAAAUGCGUAGAGAUCUGGAGGAAUACCGGUGGCGAAGGCGGCCCCCUGGACAAAGACUGACGCUCAGGUGCGAAAGCGUGGGGAGCAAACAGGAUUAGAUACCCCUGUAGUC